GAGUGAACGCUGGCGGUAGGCCUAACCCAUGCAAGUCGAACGGCAGCACAGUAAGAGCUUGCUCUUACGGGUGGCGAGUGGCGGACGGGUGAGGAAUACAUCGGAAUCUACUUUUUCGUGGGGGAUAACGUAGGGAAACUUACGCUAAUACCGCAUACGACCUACGGGUGAAAGCAGGGGAUCUUCGGACCUUGCGCGAGUGAAUGAGCCGAUGUCGGAUUAGCUAGUUGGCGGGGUAAAGGCCCACCAAGGCGACGAUCCGUAGCUGGUCUGAGAGGAUGAUCAGCCACACUGGAACUGAGACACGGUCCAGACUCCUACGGGAGGCAGCAGUGGGGAAUAUUGGACAAUGGGCGCAAGCCUGAUCCAGCCAUACCGCGUGGGUGAAGAAGGCCUUCGGGUUGUAAAGCCCUUUUGUUGGGAAAGAAAAGCAGCAGGUUAAUACCCCGCUGUUCUGACGGUACCCAAAGAAUAGGCACCGGCUAACUUCGUG
Molecule: ribosomal RNA, 493 nt
Filed under: uncultured bacterium
Lineage: Bacteria
Description: partial 16S ribosomal RNA
Rfam family: Bacterial small subunit ribosomal RNA
Source: RNAcentral